This 497-nucleotide ribosomal RNA is filed under the name uncultured bacterium. Its description in RNAcentral is "bacterial SSU rRNA". It matches the Rfam family "Bacterial small subunit ribosomal RNA", at positions 28 to 528 of the family's 1533-position model. The record is from RNAcentral.
GAUGAACGCUGGCGGCGUGCUUAACACAUGCAAGUCGAACGGAGAAACGGUAGCUUGCUAUCUUUUUUAGUGGCGGACGGGUGAGUAACGCGUGGGUAACCUGCCCUUUGCAGGGGGAUAACAGUGAGAAAUCGCUGCUAAUACCGCAUACCAACUUCUUUCGCAUGAAAGAAGUUUGAAAGAUUUAUCGGCAAAGGAUGGACCCGCGUUGGAUUAGCUAGUUGGUGAGAUAACAGCCCACCAAGGCAACGAUCCAUAGCCGGCCUGAGAGGGUGAACGGCCACACUGGGACUGAGACACGGCCCAGACUCCUACGGGAGGCAGCAGUGGGGAAUAUUGCACAAUGGGCGAAAGCCUGAUGCAGCGACGCCGCGUGAAGGAUGAAGGUCUUCGGAUUGUAAACUUCUAUCAGCAGGGAAGAAAGGGCUUAUAGCCUAUGACGGUACCUGACUAAGAAGCCCCGGCUAACCUACGUGCCAGCAGCCGCGGUAAAAGUC